Saccostrea cuccullata (small rock oyster) is the source of this 1196-nucleotide long non-coding RNA. RefSeq lists it as uncharacterized. Lineage: Eukaryota; Metazoa; Mollusca; Bivalvia; Ostreida; Ostreidae. The record is from RefSeq and is a predicted model, not a curated record. The transcript is spliced from 2 exons.
GCACAUGACUGAAUGGAGCGUAGCGGAGUCAGCCGAGGAUUGCCGAAUGGUGUUGGAAUUAUGCAUGUAGCAGGAAGUAUCUGUGCAUGACAUUGUUUAUAUUAAGCAUGGAAGAUAAAGUGUAUGCAACUAUAAACUUUUUAAUAAUGGAAUAUGUUGCAAUAGACAUCUACCUGAACAUGUGCUGAAUGAUGAUAGAUCUAAGGAUUUUAUUUGACCAUAAGGCUUGCAGAAGACGAAUAUAUAUUGGCUUUACAACAGUUACAAUGGGCAUAAGAUGAUGGUGAUAAGUCCAGCAUUACUGCAACUACGUACCAAGAUGUCUCAGGAUUAGAAACAGAAAAACGGAGAUGUCUAAAAAUACUAUUGUAAAGAGACCAGAAAAAAGUGUUAAACAAGAUAUCACCGAUGUUAUAUUGUGAUGAUAGUUUUAACAUUUAUAAGCAAAAUUUGUACUUUUACUCAAGAAAAAUCAAGGUGAAUUACAUAUUCAACAGUUUAAUUAUGAAAGGAUGGCUAAAACGUGUUAAAGAAAAUUCAUAUCAGAAGACAAACCAACUGGAAAAGGAAUACCACCUUCCAAACAUAAUUUGCAAAAAGUCAGUACAUGUAAUUCGGGCCUUAGCUCUUGCAAACCAUACCAUAGAUGUGAAAAGGGACAUCAAUGUUAGGGAUAAAAAUGUAUUAUAUCAACUCUUGCGAUUGUGAUUGUGUUGGACUUGGAUGUAUAAUUUUAAACUCUAUUUGGAAUGACUACAUAGUCUAUUGAUGAUGAAUUCAUUAUCUAUUUUUAAAGGUUUUGCUUUUUUAAAAAUUAUUUUUAAUGGUGUUAAUUCUCAUGGUUGACACUUUUACUUGUGCAGCAUUCAUUCCUAAUGCUUACUAUGUGUGUAUUUUAGAGAACUAGAGUUAGUGUAUUUUGAUUGCUUCAGUAAAAAAAUUCAUGAAGGGAUAAAUUAAAUUGAAAUAGUUAGUCCAAUAAUAUAUUUUGGACUCCGAUGGUAGUAGUUUGCUUAAGUGUCAUGCUCGGAUACGCAUCCCAUUGCAGAACGUGUAAUACAGUAGGUGCAGACACGGAAAAUCGCCAAAAUCGUAGGGCAGUUAAAGAAACAAACUAAGUAUUUUUUUGUUUAAAAAAUCAAGGAAAGAUUUGUUUUUUCUUCUCUUUAUUAGCAGGCAAAUAAAACGGUAAAUAC